Molecule: ribosomal RNA, 468 nt
Filed under: uncultured bacterium
Lineage: Bacteria
Description: partial 16S ribosomal RNA
Rfam family: Bacterial small subunit ribosomal RNA
Source: RNAcentral
GACGAACGCUGGCGGCGUGCUUAACACAUGCAAGUCGAACGGACAGGCCCUGCUUUUGUUUGGUGCUCGAUUGGCGAACGGGUGAGUAACACGUGAGUAACCUGCCCUUGACUUUGGGAUAACUUCAGGAAACUGGGGCUCAUACCGGAUAUGAGCUCCUGCUCCAUGGUGUGGGUUGGUAAGUUUCGGCGGUAGGGGCUGGUCUCGCGGCUUAUCAGCUUGAUGGUCGGGUAGGGGCUGACCAAGGCUUUGACGGGUAGGCGGCCUGAGAGGGUUACCGGCGACAUUGGGCCUGAGAUACGGCGCAGACGCGUACGGGAGGCAGCAGGGGGGAAUAUUGCAGAAUGGGCGGAAGCCAGAUGCAGAAACGCCGCGUGCGGGAUGCCGGCCUUCGGGUUGUAAACAGAUUUGGCCUGUGACGAAGCGUGAGUGACGGUAAUGGGUAAAGAAGCACCGGCUAACUACGUG